AUUGAACGCUGGCGGCAUGCCUUACACAUGCAAGUCGAACGGCAGCGGACCUUCGGGUGCCGGCGAGUGGCGAACGGGUGAGUAAUAUAUCGGAACGUACCUUUCAGUGGGGGAUAACGUAGCGAAAGUUACGCUAAUACCGCAUAUUCUGUGAGCAGGAAAGCAGGGGAUCGCAAGACCUUGCGCUGAUUGAGCGGCCGAUAUCAGAUUAGCUAGUUGGUGAGGUAAAGGCUCACCAAGGCGACGAUCUGUAGCGGGUCUGAGAGGAUGAUCCGCCACACUGGAACUGAGACACGGUCCAGACUCCUACGGGAGGCAGCAGUGGGAAUUUUGGACAAUGGGCGCAAGCCUGAUCCAGCCAUGCCGCGUGCGGGACGAAGGCCUCGGUUGUAACCGC
This 397-nucleotide ribosomal RNA is filed under the name uncultured bacterium. Its description in RNAcentral is "bacterial SSU rRNA". It matches the Rfam family "Bacterial small subunit ribosomal RNA", at positions 30 to 433 of the family's 1533-position model. The record is from RNAcentral.